RNAcentral lists this ribosomal RNA (503 nucleotides) under uncultured bacterium. RNAcentral's name for it is "partial 16S ribosomal RNA". It matches the Rfam family "Bacterial small subunit ribosomal RNA", at positions 30 to 523 of the family's 1533-position model. The record is from RNAcentral.
AUUGAACGCUGGCGGCAGGCUUAACACAUGCAAGUCGAGCGGAGUGAUGGUGCUUGCACUAUCACUUAGCGGCGGACGGGUGAGUAAUGCGUAGGAAUCUGCCUAUUAGUGGGGGACAACAUCUCGAAAGGGAUGCUAAUCCCGCAUACGUCCUACGGGAGAAAGCAGGGGAUCACUUGUGACCUUGCGCUAAUAGAUGAGCAUAAGUCGGAUUAGCUAGUUGGUGGGGUAAAGGCCUACCAAGGCGACGAUCUGUAGCGGGUCUGAGAGGAUGAUCCGCCACACUGGGACUGAGACACGGCCCAGACUCCUACGGGAGGCAGCAGUGGGGAAUAUUGGACAAUGGGGGGAACCCUGAUCCAGCCAUGCCGCGUGUGUGAAGAAGGCCUUAUGGUUGUAAAGCACUUUAAGCGAGGAGGAGGCUCUUUUGGUUAAUACCCAAGAUGAGUGGACGUUACUCGCAGAAUAAGCACCGGCUAACUCUGUGCCAGCAGCCGCCGUAA